AGGAUUGUUGCUCAGCGGUAGAGUGCUUGCCUAGCAUGAGUGGAACCUGAGUUCGAUCCUCAGGAUCUCA
Molecule: transfer RNA, 70 nt
Filed under: Marmota monax (woodchuck)
Lineage: Eukaryota; Metazoa; Chordata; Mammalia; Rodentia; Sciuridae
Description: tRNA.Ala
Source: RNAcentral